UACGGAGGGGGCUAGCGUUGUUCGGAAUUACUGGGCGUAAAGCGCACGUAGGCGGCUUUGUAAGUUAGAGGUGAAAGCCCGGAGCUCAACUCCGGAACUGCUUUUAAGACUGCAUCGCUUGAACGUCGGAGAGGUAAGUGGAAUUCCGAGUGUAGAGGUGAAAUUCGUAGAUAUUCGGAAGAACACCAGUGGCGAAGGCGACUUACUGGACGACUGUUGACGCUGAGGUGCGAAAGCGUGGGGAGCAAACAGG
Molecule: ribosomal RNA, 253 nt
Filed under: uncultured bacterium
Lineage: Bacteria
Description: partial 16S ribosomal RNA
Rfam family: Bacterial small subunit ribosomal RNA
Source: RNAcentral